Molecule: ribosomal RNA, 109 nt
Filed under: uncultured bacterium
Lineage: Bacteria
Description: partial 16S ribosomal RNA
Rfam family: Bacterial small subunit ribosomal RNA
Source: RNAcentral
CUGACGCAGUGACGCCGCGUAUAGGAAGAAGGUUUCGGAUUGUAAACUAUUGUCGUUAGGGAAGAGAAAGGACAGUACCUAAGGAGGAAGCUCCGGCUAACUACGUGCC